This 253-nucleotide ribosomal RNA is filed under the name uncultured bacterium. RNAcentral describes it as "partial 16S ribosomal RNA". It matches the Rfam family "Bacterial small subunit ribosomal RNA", at positions 524 to 776 of the family's 1533-position model. The record is from RNAcentral.
GACGAACCGAGCGAACGUUGUUCGGAAUCACUGGGCUUAAAGGGCGCGUAGGCGGGCUGCCGCGUCCGGGGUGAAAUCCCACGGCUCAACCGUGGAACGGCCCCGGGUACGGGCGGCCUCGAGGGGGGUAGGGGCGUGCGGAACUGUGGGUGGAGCGGUGAAAUGCGUUGAUAUCCACAGGAACUCCGGUGGCGAAGGCGGGUCUCUGGGCCGUAACUGAUGCUGAGGAGCGAAAGCGUGGGGAGCGAACAGG